UAUCACCGUAGUGCGGCCCUGCGGAGGCUCGGCAGGCGCCAUUCUGACGGCUGGGCCAGGGCAACACCUCACGGCCACCGUUUUACUUCCCCCCCCAUGGGUGCCUUUCCCUCGCCGCGGGGCCUCUCGGCUGCCACGGCCCUGCUCGGGCAGAGCAGGAGCACAGCAGCCAUUUUGCUGCCUGAGGCAGGACACAUCGCUGCAGGCCUCCGGGCCCUGUCUCAGAAGAGCAGCACCUCACAGUGACCAAUUUACUUUUUCCGACCUCUGCCUUUGGCACUAUGACCAGGCCUCGAGGAGGCCAGCCAUGAAAGGGUGAAGUCCAGUGUCAACAUAACUGAUGGAGAGAAGAUUUUCACUGUGGCUUCCUGAAAAGAUGGUGAAUGGGUACCUCAGGCUGUGCCCCUGUGAAAAUACAUGCCCUCAAGGGGAACAACAAAGCCUGCUGUAAAGGAAGGCAAUGCAGAAUUGCAACACA
Cyanistes caeruleus (blue tit) is the source of this 478-nucleotide long non-coding RNA. RefSeq lists it as uncharacterized. Lineage: Eukaryota; Metazoa; Chordata; Aves; Passeriformes; Paridae. The record is from RefSeq and is a predicted model, not a curated record.